This 450-nucleotide ribosomal RNA is filed under the name uncultured bacterium. RNAcentral's name for it is "partial 16S ribosomal RNA". It matches the Rfam family "Bacterial small subunit ribosomal RNA", at positions 354 to 796 of the family's 1533-position model. The record is from RNAcentral.
GUGGGGAAUUUUGGACAAUGGGCGAAAGCCUGAUCCAGCCAUGCCGCGUGUGUGAAGAAGGUCUUCGGAUUGUAAAGCACUUUAAGUUGGGAGGAAGGGCAGUAAGUUAAUACCUUGCUGUUUUGACGUUACCGACAGAAUAAGCACCGGCUAACUUCGUGCCAGCAGCCGCGGUAAUACGAAGGGUGCAAGCGUUAAUCGGAAUUACUGGGCGUAAAGCGCGCGUAGGUGGUUUUGUAAGUUGGAGGUGAAAUCCCCGGGCUCAACCUGGGAACUGCCUCCAAAACUGCAUGACUAGAGUACGGUAGAGGGUAGUGGAAUUUCCUGUGUAGCGGUGAAAUGCGUAGAUAUAGGAAGGAACACCAGUGGCGAAGGCGACUACCUGGACUGAUACUGACACUGAGGUGCGAAAGCGUGGGGAGCAAACAGGAUUAGAAACCCCUGUAGUCC